AUGCCCAGUGAUGAGGACUUCUCCUACUUGUCUUUGAGUUCCUCAAACAUGAGAUGACCCUACAUGCACUAUGGGAGGGAUAC
Molecule: small nucleolar RNA, 83 nt
Organism: Leptonychotes weddellii (Weddell seal)
Lineage: Eukaryota; Metazoa; Chordata; Mammalia; Carnivora; Phocidae
Source: RefSeq, a predicted model, not a curated record